Molecule: unclassified non-coding RNA, 653 nt
Filed under: Homarus americanus (American lobster)
Lineage: Eukaryota; Metazoa; Arthropoda; Malacostraca; Decapoda; Nephropidae
Description: tRNA-splicing endonuclease subunit Sen34-like, transcript variant X9
Source: RNAcentral
UUUGAGAGUAGAGGACACAAAGGGUGUUUUUCGGACCCCAAUGUUCAUGAUAUUAUGGCAUUGAGAGUGUUACAGAUUAUUUCUGGUCCAAUUUUUUUUUAAGUCGGUGCAUGAAAUUUUUAUUAGAUUCUACAGUAGAUGCGAAAUGUGGAUACCAAAGGUGGAUACAGCCUUAGUAUAUCAGCUAUUUUGUCAUCAUAGAUAGUGUGCCAUUGCAUACACAGUGUGCUUGUAAACUUUAAGCGAUAAGAUUCAAUUACAGUAGCUCAGUAUACAAUUCAAUGAGUAAUUGGCGAUUUUUGUGAAGUAUUGCCAAUUGAAGCUUAAGCUCGCACAGCGACAGUCAUCUGAGACUGAGAGAUGUUUACAAUUUACUCAAGAAAUAUAGAGGAUUUUACCACGUGAAUCGCGUCAAUUGACAUUGUGGAUGUACUCGCUGACGGUGUGUAAAAGGUCUACGUAUUACCGUAUCUUCUGUGGUUAUAGAGGAAUUGUAGGUGACUGAACUGGGAGCGCCCGGGAAUUGAACCAACGACCCUGGAACAAGAGGUGAGUGCUGUAUCCACUCAACUGCUGCACUCUUUAUUAUGCAAUUAGUUCAAAGGGCCGCCACCAAGAUGGGUCGUCCUAAGAUUAGCAACACUCAGCUGCGC